RNAcentral lists this ribosomal RNA (436 nucleotides) under Eutagenia sp. AP3. RNAcentral's name for it is "partial 16S ribosomal RNA". The record is from RNAcentral. Lineage: Eukaryota; Metazoa; Arthropoda; Insecta; Coleoptera; Tenebrionidae.
GGCCUUUUGUUAAUAAUUUAAGGUCUGACCUGCCCAAUGAUAAUAAUUUAAUGGCCGCAGUAUUUUGACUGUGCAAAGGUAGCAUAAUCAUUAGUUUUUUAAUUGGAAGCUGGAAUGAAUGGUUUGAUGAGAAAAUAACUGUCUCAUUUUAAAUGUUUUAGAAUUUUAAUUUUAAGUGAAAAAGCUUAAAUUUUUUAGAAAGACGAGAAGACCCUAUAGAGUUUUAUAUUUUAAUAUAAAAUUUUAAAUUGGAUUUAAUUUAAAAUUUUAUAUUAAAAUAUUUUGUUGGGGUGAUGUAAAAAUUAAAUUAACUUUUUAUUAUUUAAACAUUAAUUAAUGAUUUUAUGAUCCUAAUUUUUAGAUUAAAAGAAUAAAUUACCUUAGGGAUAACAGCGUAAUUUUUUUAGAGAGUUCUUAUUGAUAAAAAAGUUUGCGA